RNAcentral lists this ribosomal RNA (497 nucleotides) under uncultured bacterium. Its description in RNAcentral is "partial 16S ribosomal RNA". It matches the Rfam family "Bacterial small subunit ribosomal RNA", at positions 28 to 507 of the family's 1533-position model. The record is from RNAcentral.
GAUGAACGCUGGCGGCGUGCCUAAUACAUGCAAGUCGAGCGAACAGACGAGGAGCUUGCUCCUCUGACGUUAGCGGCGGACGGGUGAGUAACACGUGGAUAACCUCCCUCUAAGACUGGGAUAACUUCGGGAAACCGGAGCUAAUACCGGAUAAUAUAUUGAACCGCAUGGUUCAAUAGUGAAAGACGGUUUUGCUGUCACUUAUAGAUGGAUCCGCGCCGCAUUAGCUAGUUGGUAAGGUAACGGCUUACCAAGGCAACGAUGCGUAGCCGACCUGAGAGGGUGAUCGGCCACACUGGAAGUGAGACACGGUCCAGACUCCUACGGGAGGCAGCAGUAGGGAAUCUUCCGCAAUGGGCGAAAGCCUGACGGAGCAACGCCGCGGGAGUGAUGAAGGUCUUCGGAUCGUAAAACUCUGUUAUUGGGGAAGAACAAAUGUGUAAGUAACUAUGCACGUCUUGACGGUACCUAAACAGAAAGCCACGGCUAACUACGUG